UACGUAGGGUGCGGGCGUUAAUCGGAAUUACUGGGCGUAAAGCGUGCGCAGGCGGUUUUGUAAGCCAGAUGUGAAAGCCCCGGGCUUAACCUGGGAAUGGCAUUUGGGACUGCAAGGCUUGAGUGCGGCAGAGGAGACUGGAAUUCCUGGUGUAGCAGUGAAAUGCGUAGAUAUCAGGAGGAAUACCGAUGGCGAAGGCAGGUCUCUGGGCUGACACUGACGCUCAUGCACGAAAGCGUGGGGAGCAAACAGG
This 253-nucleotide ribosomal RNA is filed under the name uncultured bacterium. RNAcentral describes it as "partial 16S ribosomal RNA". It matches the Rfam family "Bacterial small subunit ribosomal RNA", at positions 524 to 776 of the family's 1533-position model. The record is from RNAcentral.